This 255-nucleotide ribosomal RNA is filed under the name uncultured bacterium. RNAcentral's name for it is "partial 16S ribosomal RNA". It matches the Rfam family "Bacterial small subunit ribosomal RNA", at positions 96 to 353 of the family's 1533-position model. The record is from RNAcentral.
UGGCGGACGGGUGAGUAAUGUCUGGGAAACUGCCUGAUGGAGGGGGAUAACUACUGGAAACGGUAGCUAAUACCGCAUAACGUCGCAAGACCAAAGAGGGGGACCUUCGGGCCUCUUGCCAUCGGAUGUGCCCAGAUGGGAUUAGCUAGUAGGUGGGGUAACGGCUCACCUAGGCGACGAUCCCUAGCUGGUCUGAGAGGAUGACCAGCCACACUGGAACUGAGACACGGUCCAGACUCCUACGGAGGCAGCAUG